RNAcentral lists this ribosomal RNA (229 nucleotides) under Acinetobacter baumannii. RNAcentral's name for it is "partial 16S ribosomal RNA". It matches the Rfam family "Bacterial small subunit ribosomal RNA", at positions 420 to 640 of the family's 1533-position model. Lineage: Bacteria; Pseudomonadati; Pseudomonadota; Gammaproteobacteria; Moraxellales; Moraxellaceae. The record is from RNAcentral.
UGGUUGUAAAGCACUUUAAGCGAGGAGGAGGCUACUUUAGUUAAUACCUAGAGAUAGUGGACGUUACUCGCAGAAUAAGCACCGGCUAACUCUGUGCCAGCAGCCGCGGUAAUACAGAGGGUGCGAGCGUUAAUCGGAUUUACUGGGCGUAAAGCGUGCGUAGGCGGCUUAUUAAGUCGGAUGUGAAAUCCCCGAGCUUAACUUGGGAAUUGCAUUCGAUACUGGUGAG